Molecule: ribosomal RNA, 423 nt
Filed under: uncultured prokaryote
Also listed under: 1 other name
Description: bacterial SSU rRNA
Rfam family: Bacterial small subunit ribosomal RNA
Source: RNAcentral
UGAGGAAUAUUGGUCAAUGGUCUGACGACUGAACCAGCCAUGCCGCGUGAAGGUCACGGCCCUAUGGGUCUUAAACUUCUUUUGUAAGGGAGCAAUAAGUCUCACGUGUGGGAUGAUGAGAGUACCUUACGAAUAAGCAUCGGCUAACUCCGUGCCAGCAGCCGCGGUAAUACGGGGGAUGCAAGCGUUAUCCGGAUUUAUUGGGUUUAAAGGGUGCGUAGGCGGCUUGGUAAGUCAGCGGUGAAAUUUAGGGGCUCAACCUCUACCGUGCCGUUGAUACUGCUGGGCUAGAAUGCGGAUGCCGUGGGAGGAAUGUGUGGUGUAGCGGUGAAAUGCAUAGAUAUCACACAGAACACCGAUUGCGAAGGCAUCUCACGAAUCCGCUAUUGACGCUGAGGCACGAAAGCGUGGGGAUCAAACAGG